GGAAGGAGAUCACAACAUCUCUGCAUAUAUCAUUGGUGAUUUCAAUUGUAUAUAAUGGCACUCUGGAAAAGUGUCAUUGUGAUCAUAUUUUUAUAUAUCUGGGGAUGUAAAUCUCAAGACAAAGUUGAUCAGCACACAAAGAUUCAGUCUGCUUUUGAAGGUGAUGAUGUAACAAUCAACUGUACAUAUCAGACGUCUUACCCAAACCCGACUCUCUUCUGGUACCAGCAGAAAGUUAAUGGGAUCCCCAAGUACAUGUUGAAUAGAAUCUCUAACACUGGACGAAAUGAGGAUGAAUUCGAGGAGAGAAGAUUUCAAGCAAAUCUCAGCAAAACUUCAGUUCCUCUGACAAUCAAGAACCUGUGUGUGUCUGACUCUGCUGUGUACUACUGUGCUCUGAAGCCCACUGUGACUCAAACACACUCAACACUCACACAAAAACUCUCACAGUGCAACAGCAUCAGUUACAUCAUUAUGCUGUUUCAGUUUGUAUUAGAAUAA
Non-coding RNA from Megalobrama amblycephala (Wuchang bream), 501 nucleotides. Lineage: Eukaryota; Metazoa; Chordata; Actinopteri; Cypriniformes; Xenocyprididae. The record is from the annotation of a RefSeq genome assembly.